AUUUAUAUAAUAUAUUUAGUAUAUUUGACUUCCAAUCAAAAAGUUUAAAAUUUUUAAUAUAAAUA
Pieris rapae (cabbage white) is the source of this 65-nucleotide non-coding RNA. NCBI's taxonomy places the organism in Eukaryota, Metazoa, Arthropoda, Insecta, Lepidoptera, Pieridae. The record is from the annotation of a RefSeq genome assembly.